AACGAACGCUGGCGGCAUGCCUAACACAUGCAAGUCGAACGAGACCUUCGGGUCUAGUGGCGCACGGGUGCGUAGCGCGUGGGAACCUGCCCUUAGGUUCGGAAUAACUCCCCGAAAGGGGUGCUAAUACCGGAUAAUGUCUUCGGACCAAAGAUUUAUCGCCUUUGGAUGGGCCCGCGUUGGAUUAGCUAGUUGGUAGGGUAAAAGCCUACCAAGGCGACGAUCCAUAGCUGGUCUGAGAGGAUGAUCAGCCACACUGGGACUGAGACACGGCCCAGACUCCUACGGGAGGCAGCAGUGGGAAAUAGUGGACAAUGGGCGAAAGCCUGAUCCAGCAAUGCCGCGUGAGUGAUGAAGGCCUUAGGGUUGUAAAGCUCUUUUACCCGGGAUGAUAAUGACAGUACCGGGAGAAUAAGCUCCGGCUAACUCCGUG
Molecule: ribosomal RNA, 433 nt
Filed under: uncultured bacterium
Lineage: Bacteria
Description: partial 16S ribosomal RNA
Rfam family: Bacterial small subunit ribosomal RNA
Source: RNAcentral